ACGAACGCUGGCGGCGUGCUUAACACCUGCCAGUCGCACGGAAAGGCCCUGCUUGCAGGGUACUCGAGUGGCGAACGGGUGAGUAACACGUGGGUGAUCUGCCCUGCACUUCGGGAUAAGCCUGGGAAACUGGGUCUAAUACCGGAUAGGAGCCAUUUUUAGUGUGAUGGUUGGAAAGUUUUUUCGGUGUAGGAUGAGCUCGCGGCCUAUCAGCUUGUUGGUGGGGUAAUGGCCUACCAAGGCGGCGACGGGUAGCCGGCCUGGGAGGGUGGACGGCCACAUUGGGACUGAGAUGCGGCCCAGACUCCUACGGGAGGCAGCAGUGGGGAAUAUUGCACAAUGGGCGCAAGCCUGAUGCAGCGACGCCGCGUGGGGGAUGACGGCCUUCGGGUUGUAAACUCCUUUCGCUAGGGACGAAGCUUUUUGUGACGGUACCUAGAUAAGAAGCACCGGCUAACUACGUG
Molecule: ribosomal RNA, 464 nt
Filed under: uncultured bacterium
Lineage: Bacteria
Description: partial 16S ribosomal RNA
Rfam family: Bacterial small subunit ribosomal RNA
Source: RNAcentral